Molecule: ribosomal RNA, 677 nt
Filed under: uncultured bacterium
Lineage: Bacteria
Description: bacterial SSU rRNA
Rfam family: Bacterial small subunit ribosomal RNA
Source: RNAcentral
AGUGGCGAACGGGUGAGUAAUAUAUCGGAACGUGCCCAGUCGUGGGGGAUAACGCAGCGAAAGCUGUGCUAAUACCGCAUACGAUCUCUGGAUGAAAGCGGGGGACUCGCAAGAGCCUCGCGCGAUUGGAGCGGCCGAUAUCAGAUUAGCUAGUUGGUGGGGUAAAAGCCCACCAAGGCGACGAUCUGUAGCUGGUCUGAGAGGACGACCAGCCACACUGGAACUGAGACACGGUCCAGACUCCUACGGGAGGCAGCAGUGGGGAAUUUUGGACAAUGGGCGCAAGCCUGAUCCAGCAAUGCCGCGUGCAGGAUGAAGGCCUUCGGGUUGUAAACUGCUUUUGUACGGAACGAAACGGUCCUUUCUAAUACGAGGGGCUAAUGACGGUACCGUAAGAAUAAGCACCGGCUAACUACGUGCCAGCAGCCGCGGUAAUACGUAGGGUGCGAGCGUUAAUCGGAAUUACUGGGCGUAAAGCGUGCGCAGGCGGUGAUGUAAGACAGAUGUGAAAUCCCCGGGCUCAACCUGGGACCUGCAUUUGUGACUGCAUCGCUAGAGUACGGUAGAGGGGGAUGGAAUUCCGCGUGUAGCAGUGAAAUGCGUAGAUAUGCGGAGGAACACCGAUGGCGAAGGCAAUCCCCUGGACCUGUACUGACGCUCAUGCACGAAAGCGUGGG